CUGCAGAAGGAUCAUUUGCACAUGUGUAGCCAACUGCAUGCUAAUGAUAUUGUGGGCAACUGUAAGCAUGUAUUGCAAUGGACUUGCACUUGCCCUGGGCAGCAUGAUUUGUUUUUCAAGCAUGUGUGCUGUAGCGUGUGAUGUGUUGUGUAAACUGUUUGCAUUUCUCUAGUUGCUGCAACACUUAUGUUUUGCAAGGAAUGUCUUAGCUCAAUAAAUGAUGAAGAAUGCAGCAACAUGCAAUAUGCAUUGCGAAUUGCAGAAUUCCGUGAGCUAACAGAUGUUUGAAUGUUACUUGUACCUUUGGGAUAUUCUUGAAGGUUUGCUUGGUUUAAUGCAAAGUAGCUUUCAUAUACAUUUAAUGCUGAUUAGCAUUGUUGUGAACAAUAAAGGUCAAUGUUUUGCAUUGAACCUGGAUGUCAUACAGUUGUUUACAACCUAAACAUGGUUUCGUGGGGCAGACCUGUUUCGUCAUUUGAUGGUUGAUAUUUGUAAAUGUGCACAACUGGGACAAGCUGAAGACUUGCAUAUGCUAAGCGUGAAGUGAAGCACAUAAACCUGCUGAAUUUAAGCAUAUAAGUAAGUGUAAAAAAUU
Molecule: ribosomal RNA, 595 nt
Filed under: Alexandrium tamarense
Lineage: Eukaryota; Dinophyceae; Gonyaulacales; Pyrocystaceae
Description: eukaryotic LSU rRNA
Rfam family: 5.8S ribosomal RNA (bases 186-340)
Source: RNAcentral